AGUAUGAUAAGUUAUGUUCACAGAAGCAACCACAUCCAUCCCACUAAUCCAGAAAUGGAUUCCUUCGCAUUUGCCUUGUUGCAGAGGACACGAAAGUAAGAAAUCCACAACUGAAGCUUUAUAAACCACUGGAAAAAUGUUUCAUUCCUUGCCUGGUUUUUUUUUGUGACAUAAAUUUUGGCACUGAAAUUAUAAUUUUGAAUGUCACUCGAGGAGCAUGUGGCUCUUUCUAAGCAAAAUAGACAAAAUUAUUUUAUUCUGAGUGAUACGUGUUCAAGUAUAUAUAGCUCAGUAACAAGAUGGCAGACCAAAACCAGGAUGUUUCUGCCCUUUGUUAUCUUGCAUUACAUCCCACAGAGCUCUUUGAUUGUUUCGUCAAUAAAAACGUUUACCUUUGCUUCAAAGAAGUUCUUGGCUCCUCCAACACCCACUUCUUCAACGUUGAUCUCAG
Molecule: non-coding RNA, 451 nt
Organism: Zootermopsis nevadensis
Lineage: Eukaryota; Metazoa; Arthropoda; Insecta; Blattodea; Termopsidae
Source: RefSeq, a predicted model, not a curated record